RNAcentral lists this long non-coding RNA (603 nucleotides) under Homo sapiens (human). RNAcentral's name for it is "HSALNT0226278". Lineage: Eukaryota; Metazoa; Chordata; Mammalia; Primates; Hominidae. The record is from RNAcentral.
GGUGGAUCUGGGCUCUGGCGACGGCAGGAUCGUAAGUGCCUGCGUCUGGGUCUUCGCCGCCCCACACCGCCCACCUGCUGGCGGGCGCCCCUGCCCACAUCCUGGUUCCCACACUCUCGGUGCCCACAGGUGCUGGCGGCCCACAGGUGCGGCCUCCGCCCGGCCGUGGGCUACGAGCUGAACCCCUGGCUGGUGGCGCUGGCGCGGCUGCACGCCUGGAGGGCCGGCUGUGCCGGCAGCGUCUGCUAUCGCCGCAAGGAUCUCUGGAAGGUGAGCCUGAGGGACUGCCGCAACGUGUCUGUGUUCCUGGCCCCUAGCGUGCUCCCGCUGCUGGAGGACAAGCUGCGGACAGAGCUGCCUGCUGGGGCCCGCGUGGUGUCUGGGCGCUUCCCACUCCCCACCUGGCAGCCUGUGACCGCGGUUGGCGAGGGCCUGGACCGAGUAUGGGCUUAUGAUGUUCCUGAGGGUGGGCAGGCUGGGGAGGCCGCCUCCUCGCGGAUACCCAUCCAGGCUGCCCCCGGACCUAGUUCUGCCCCCAUCCCGGGGGGCCUUAUUUCUCAGGCCAGCUGAGUAUUAGACACGAUAAAGACUCUGUGGGUUCUA